UUUACGGAGAGUUUGAUCCUGGCUCAGGAUGAACGCUGGCGGCGUGCCUAAUACAUGCAAGUCGAGCGCACUAUUUUGGUAGUGAGCGGCGAACGGGUGAGUAACACGUAGGUAACAUGUCCAUACGACGAGG
This 133-nucleotide ribosomal RNA is filed under the name Acholeplasmataceae bacterium. Its description in RNAcentral is "partial 16S ribosomal RNA". It matches the Rfam family "Bacterial small subunit ribosomal RNA", at positions 1 to 142 of the family's 1533-position model. The record is from RNAcentral. Lineage: Bacteria; Bacillati; Mycoplasmatota; Mollicutes; Acholeplasmatales; Acholeplasmataceae.